UUAAGCGACUAAGCGUACACGGUGGAUGCCCUGGCAGUCAGAGGCGAUGAAGGACGUGCUAAUCUGCGAUAAGCGUCGGUAAGGUGAUAUGAACCGUUAUAACCGGCGAUUUCCGAAUGGGGAAACCCAGUGUGUUUCGACACACUAUCAUUAACUGAAUCCAUAGGUUAAUGAGGCGAACCGGGGGAACUGAAACAUCUAAGUACCCCGAGGAAAAGAAAUCAACCGAGAUUCCCCCAGUAGCGGCGAGCGAACGGGGAGCAGCCCAGAGCCUGAAUCAGUGUGUGUGUUAGUGGAAGCGUCUGGAAAGGCGCGCGAUACAGGGUGACAGCCCCGUACACAAAAAUGCACAUGCUGUGAGCUCGAUGAGUAGGGCGGGACACGUGGUAUCCUGUCUGAAUAUGGGGGGACCAUCCUCCAAGGCUAAAUACUCCUGACUGACCGAUAGUGAACCAGUACCGUGAGGGAAAGGCGAAAAGAACCCCGGCGAGGGGAGUGAAAAAGAACCUGAAACCGUGUACGUACAAGCAGUGGGAGCACAGAGCAAUCUGUGUGACUGCGUACCUUUUGUAUAAUGGGUCAGCGACUUAUAUUCUGUAGCAAGGUUAACCGAAUAGGGGAGCCGAAGGGAAACCGAGUCUUAACUGGGCGUUAAGUUGCAGGGUAUAGACCCGAAACCCGGUGAUCUAGCCAUGGGCAGGUUGAAGGUUGGGUAACACUAACUGGAGGACCGAACCGACUAAUGUUGAAAAAUUAGCGGAUGACUUGUGGCUGGGGGUGAAAGGCCAAUCAAACCGGGAGAUAGCUGGUUCUCCCCGAAAGCUAUUUAGGUAGCGCCUCGUGAAUUCAUCUCCGGGGGUAGAGCACUGUUUCGGCAAGGGGGUCAUCCCGACUUACCAACCCGAUGCAAACUGCGAAUACCGGAGAAUGUUAUCACGGGAGACACACGGCGGGUGCUAACGUCCGUCGUGAAGAGGGAAACAACCCAGACCGCCAGCUAAGGUCCCAAAGUCAUGGUUAAGUGGGAAACGAUGUGGGAAGGCCCAGACAGCCAGGAUGUUGGCUUAGAAGCAGCCAUCAUUUAAAGAAAGCGUAAUAGCUCACUGGUCGAGUCGGCCUGCGCGGAAGAUGUAACGGGGCUAAACCAUGCACCGAAGCUGCGGCAGCGACACUAUGUGUUGUUGGGUAGGGGAGCGUUCUGUAAGCCUGCGAAGGUGUGCUGUGAGGCAUGCUGGAGGUAUCAGAAGUGCGAAUGCUGACAUAAGUAACGAUAAAGCGGGUGAAAAGCCCGCUCGCCGGAAGACCAAGGGUUCCUGUCCAACGUUAAUCGGGGCAGGGUGAGUCGACCCCUAAGGCGAGGCCGAAAGGCGUAGUCGAUGGGAAACAGGUUAAUAUUCCUGUACUUGGUGUUACUGCGAAGGGGGGACGGAGAAGGCUAUGUUGGCCGGGCGACGGUUGUCCCGGUUUAAGCGUGUAGGCUGGUUUUCCAGGCAAAUCCGGAAAAUCAAGGCUGAGGCGUGAUGACGAGGCACUACGGUGCUGAAGCAACAAAUGCCCUGCUUCCAGGAAAAGCCUCUAAGCAUCAGGUAACAUCAAAUCGUACCCCAAACCGACACAGGUGGUCAGGUAGAGAAUACCAAGGCGCUUGAGAGAACUCGGGUGAAGGAACUAGGCAAAAUGGUGCCGUAACUUCGGGAGAAGGCACGCUGAUAUGUAGGUGAAGUCCCUCGCGGAUGGAGCUGAAAUCAGUCGAAGAUACCAGCUGGCUGCAACUGUUUAUUAAAAACACAGCACUGUGCAAACACGAAAGUGGACGUAUACGGUGUGACGCCUGCCCGGUGCCGGAAGGUUAAUUGAUGGGGUUAGCGCAAGCGAAGCUCUUGAUCGAAGCCCCGGUAAACGGCGGCCGUAACUAUAACGGUCCUAAGGUAGCGAAAUUCCUUGUCGGGUAAGUUCCGACCUGCACGAAUGGCGUAAUGAUGGCCAGGCUGUCUCCACCCGAGACUCAGUGAAAUUGAACUCGCUGUGAAGAUGCAGUGUACCCGCGGCAAGACGGAAAGACCCCGUGAACCUUUACUAUAGCUUGACACUGAACAUUGAGCCUUGAUGUGUAGGAUAGGUGGGAGGCUUUGAAGUGUGGACGCCAGUCUGCAUGGAGCCGACCUUGAAAUACCACCCUUUAAUGUUUGAUGUUCUAACGUUGACCCGUGAUCCGGGUUGCGGACAGUGUCUGGUGGGUAGUUUGACUGGGGCGGUCUCCUCCUAAAGAGUAACGGAGGAGCACGAAGGUUGGCUAAUCCUGGUCGGACAUCAGGAGGUUAGUGCAAUGGCAUAAGCCAGCUUGACUGCGAGCGUGACGGCGCGAGCAGGUGCGAAAGCAGGUCAUAGUGAUCCGGUGGUUCUGAAUGGAAGGGCCAUCGCUCAACGGAUAAAAGGUACUCCGGGGAUAACAGGCUGAUACCGCCCAAGAGUUCAUAUCGACGGCGGUGUUUGGCACCUCGAUGUCGGCUCAUCACAUCCUGGGGCUGAAGUAGGUCCCAAGGGUAUGGCUGUUCGCCAUUUAAAGUGGUACGCGAGCUGGGUUUAGAACGUCGUGAGACAGUUCGGUCCCUAUCUGCCGUGGGCGCUGGAGAACUGAGGGGGGCUGCUCCUAGUACGAGAGGACCGGAGUGGACGCAUCACUGGUGUUCGGGUUGUCAUGCCAAUGGCACUGCCCGGUAGCUAAAUGCGGAAGAGAUAAGUGCUGAAAGCAUCUAAGCACGAAACUUGCCCCGAGAUGAGUUCUCCCUGACUCCUUGAGAGUCCUGAAGGAACGUUGAAGACGACGACGUUGAUAGGCCGGGUGUGUAAGCGCAGCGAUGCGUUGAGCUAACCGGUACUAAUGAACCGUGAGGCUUAACCUU
Molecule: ribosomal RNA, 2903 nt
Filed under: human gut metagenome
Description: bacterial LSU rRNA
Rfam family: Bacterial large subunit ribosomal RNA
Source: RNAcentral